AUACGGAGGGUGCAAGCGUUAAUCGGAAUUACUGGGCGUAAAGCGUACGUAGGCGGUUAGUUAAGUUAGAUGUGAAAGCCCCGGGCUUAACCUGGGAACUGCAUUUAAAACUGGCUAACUAGAGUUAAUUAGAGGGGAGUGGAAUUUCAGGUGUAGCGGUGAAAUGCGUAGAGAUCUGAAGGAACACCAGUGGCGAAGGCGACUCCCUGGACUUGAACUGACGCUGAGGUACGAAAGCGUGGGUAGCAAACGGGAUUAGAAACCCCAGUAGUCC
This 274-nucleotide ribosomal RNA is filed under the name uncultured bacterium. Its description in RNAcentral is "partial 16S ribosomal RNA". It matches the Rfam family "Bacterial small subunit ribosomal RNA", at positions 523 to 796 of the family's 1533-position model. The record is from RNAcentral.